Long non-coding RNA from Camelus ferus (Wild Bactrian camel), 182 nucleotides. It matches the Rfam family "ZFAT antisense RNA 1 conserved region 2". NCBI's taxonomy places the organism in Eukaryota, Metazoa, Chordata, Mammalia, Artiodactyla, Camelidae. The record is from Rfam.
CAGCAACUGAUACUCCUCCAGGUGCCUUCUUGAGUGUCAGUGCUGAAGAGAGAAGCCUCUUCAAAGGAAGAUCAAAACCAAGCAAGGUUGAAAAGAGAAGCUUCUUUAAAUGCCAGUGUAUCAAGAAAAAUGAAAGCAUGUGAAACUGGGGUCAAAGAUCUCAGUACACAUUCCCGACGCUC